RNAcentral lists this long non-coding RNA (711 nucleotides) under Ananas comosus (pineapple). RNAcentral's name for it is "long non-coding RNA (ACOM_LNC023934)". The record is from RNAcentral. Lineage: Eukaryota; Viridiplantae; Streptophyta; Magnoliopsida; Poales; Bromeliaceae.
AAAUUUAAAAAAUUAUUUAGGUUAUCCCUAAGUGACAACCUAAUAAUUCCACAUCGGAUAGUUAUGGCUAAAUGUGGGAGUAUAUAAGUUUGAUUAGGUUAGACAUAAUAAUUGGACUUAAACAUUUUAGACUGGUGAUUUAGGUCUAACGAGUUAUUAUUGCUAGCUGGUCGGAUCAUUAUAUUUGAUAUCAGAGUCGGUUCACAAGUUGGAAGUGUGAGAUGAGUAUCGACUGAGCCAGGAUUGGAAUGACGGACUAAGCUAGAGUCAGUAAAUAACAGGUUAAGUCAGGGUUAGAAUGACAAGACUAGUGAAACAAGUCUCACAUCGCCUGAUGAUUUUGGACUGUGUGUGUGUUUAGGACUGACGAGGGCGUCAAGGUUGGGAAGAGUAUGUGACAUUCCAAUAAUCUUACAUCGGAUAGUUAUGACUAGAUGUUGGAAUAUAUAAGCUUGAUUAGGCUUAGAUAUAAUAACUGGGCUUAAGCAUUUUGGGCCAGUGGUUAAAGUCUAACAAAUUAUUAUUACUAGCAAAUCGGGAUGUUACACUCUAGACUAGAUGAUCAAAAUAUUCUUAUUGAUUUUUUAAAAAGUUCUUCAAAUAUUCACUUUUCUUCGGGAUUUACUAAUUGGAUUGGAUUUUAGAGUAAUAUUUUGGGUGUUAAGGCUCUAUAUUAACUCAAGCACUUUUGUAGCCAGACUUUUGACUUUU